AUGGCUCAGGAUGAACGCUAGCGACAGGCUUAACACAUGCAAGUCGAGGGGCAGCACGGGAGUAGCAAUACAACUGGUGGCGACCGGCGCACGGGUGAGUAACGCGUAUGCAACCUACCUAUCAGAGGGGAAUAACCCGGCGAAAGUCGGACUAAUACCGCAUAAAACAGGGGCACCGCAUGGUGAUAUUUGUUAAAGAAAUUCGCUGAUAGAUGGGCAUGCGUUCCAUUAGGUAGUUGGUGAGGUAACGGCUCACCAAGCCGACGAUGGAUAGGGGAACUGAGAGGUUGGUCCCCCACACUGGUACUGAGACACGGACCAGACUCCUACGGGAAGCAGCAGUGAGGAAUAUUGGUCAAUGGGCGGGAGCCUGAGCCAGCCAAGUCGCGUGAAGGAAGAAGGAUCUAUGGUUCGUAAACUUCUUUUGCAGGGGAAUAAAGUGCAGGACGUGUCCUGUUUUGUAUGUACCCUGAGAAUAAGGAUCGGCUAACUCCGUGCCAGCCGCUGC
RNAcentral lists this ribosomal RNA (508 nucleotides) under uncultured bacterium. RNAcentral's name for it is "bacterial SSU rRNA". It matches the Rfam family "Bacterial small subunit ribosomal RNA", at positions 19 to 518 of the family's 1533-position model. The record is from RNAcentral.